AUUCUCCUACGGGGGGCAGCAGUAGGGAAUCUUCCACAAUGGACGAAAGUCUGAUGGAGCAACGCCGCGUGAGUGAAGAAGGGUUUCGGCUCGUAAAGCUCUGUUGGUAGUGAAGAAAGAUAGAGGAAGUAACUGGCCUUUAUUUGACGGUAAUUACUUAGAAAGGCACGGCUAACUACGUGCCAGCAGCCGCGGGAAUACGUAGGUGGCAAGCGUUGUCUGGAUUUAUUGGGCGUAAA
This 239-nucleotide ribosomal RNA is filed under the name uncultured bacterium. Its description in RNAcentral is "partial 16S ribosomal RNA". It matches the Rfam family "Bacterial small subunit ribosomal RNA", at positions 333 to 564 of the family's 1533-position model. The record is from RNAcentral.